GGAGGAGUGGUGGGAACCACCCUUUAGAAGAGGACGUACUGAUUAGAAAGGAGCUGGGAAGAAUACAGCUGCCUGAAAGCUGACAAGCCCUAGAGAUGGUCUCCCUUUAUUUCUCUUCCAUAGCUGCUGAGUUUACACCUUGGACAUGGCUACCUUUACCACCACCACCUCUGGACCCAUGAAAUUGGUGCUUCUUCUAAACUUUCCAGGCUUUCAACUCUUGUUUAUUCCCAGUUUUCCCGAGGAUGACUCUGGCUGCCCUGACAGCCCCACCACAGGGGACAGCAGCAUUUAUUUGACUUGACUAGGAUUGGAACUUCCAGUGAUCUACAAUCUCCAUAUGAUCUCUGUUUCUACAAGGAAGCACCUUCUCCAUGAAUAUUAUGCACUUAGUUAAACUGAGCCAUGGAAAGCCAAUCAUUCAUUCAACAAAUAUGUACAGAGUGUCAAUAAUGUACCAGGCAAGAAACAAGGAGCUGCGCUCUUUCUUCAAGGAAUCCAUAGUUCUAUCAGUAGAAGGAAUAAAAUAUUCUAAGUGUCUUUGUAGUAGAUUGAAUUAUCAUUUCACAAAUAUUCCCUCUCCCGUCUCACUCUCCUCUUCCCUGCCCCAUUGAUUUAGGACCUGACUAUGUAAAAUACUUUGGCCCAUAAAAUGUGGGCAGAAAUGAUAACAUGCCAGUUUCAAGUGAAGC
RNAcentral lists this long non-coding RNA (692 nucleotides) under Homo sapiens (human). Its description in RNAcentral is "HSALNT0071251". Lineage: Eukaryota; Metazoa; Chordata; Mammalia; Primates; Hominidae. The record is from RNAcentral.